This 515-nucleotide ribosomal RNA is filed under the name Bacillus sp. HKA-17. Its description in RNAcentral is "bacterial SSU rRNA". It matches the Rfam family "Bacterial small subunit ribosomal RNA", at positions 151 to 651 of the family's 1533-position model. Lineage: Bacteria; Bacillati; Bacillota; Bacilli; Caryophanales; Bacillaceae. The record is from RNAcentral.
GAGAAACCGGGGCUAAUACCGGAUGGUUGUUUGAACCGCAUGGUUCAGACAUAAAAGGUGGCUUCGGCUACCACUUACAGAUGGACCCGCGGCGCAUUAGCUAGUUGGUGAGGUAACGGCUCACCAAGGCAACGAUGCGUAGCCGACCUGAGAGGGUGAUCGGCCACACUGGGACUGAGACACGGCCCAGACUCCUACGGGAGGCAGCAGUAGGGAAUCUUCCGCAAUGGACGAAAGUCUGACGGAGCAACGCCGCGUGAGUGAUGAAGGUUUUCGGAUCGUAAAGCUCUGUUGUUAGGGAAGAACAAGUGCCGUUCAAAUAGGGCGGCACCUUGACGGUACCUAACCAGAAAGCCACGGCUAACUACGUGCCAGCAGCCGCGGUAAUACGUAGGUGGCAAGCGUUGUCCGGAAUUAUUGGGCGUAAAGGGCUCGCAGGCGGUUUCUUAAGUCUGAUGUGAAAGCCCCCGGCUCAACCGGGGAGGGUCAUUGGAAACUGGGGAACUUGAGUGCAG